GCAGGGCGUAGUGGCGAACGCUUGUAAUCCAGCUACACGGAGGCUUGGUUCAGAGGAUAGCCUGAGGCAAGGAUUCCUGCAUUGGAAAGGAUCAUGCCGACCGAACGUCCAGAUCAAGGGCGGAGUCAAUAUGGCAACCACUAAGGAGUUGAUGGCGACCAGGUUGGUCAAAGACGGAAGACAUCGGCUGAGGACGGAAACGCAGCAGGCAAAAGUGUCCGCGUCGUUUCACUGAUCGGACAGUGCUUCCGAAUGCUCCCUCCAAUGCAGCCUGAUCGGUGCCUUUUGCUUCCACCACU
Molecule: non-coding RNA, 299 nt
Organism: Trichuris muris
Lineage: Eukaryota; Metazoa; Nematoda; Enoplea; Trichinellida; Trichuridae
Source: Rfam